This 1501-nucleotide ribosomal RNA is filed under the name Enterococcus faecalis. RNAcentral's name for it is "bacterial SSU rRNA". It matches the Rfam family "Bacterial small subunit ribosomal RNA". The record is from RNAcentral. Lineage: Bacteria; Bacillati; Bacillota; Bacilli; Lactobacillales; Enterococcaceae.
GGACUACGAACGCUGGCGGCGUGCCUAAUACAUGCAAGUCGAACGCUUCUUUCCUCCCGAGUGCUUGCACUCAAUUGGAAAGAGGAGUGGCGGACGGGUGAGUAACACGUGGGUAACCUACCCAUCAGAGGGGGAUAACACUUGGAAACAGGUGCUAAUACCGCAUAACAGUUUAUGCCGCAUGGCAUAAGAGUGAAAGGCGCUUUCGGGUGUCGCUGAUGGAUGGACCCGCGGUGCAUUAGCUAGUUGGUGAGGUAACGGCUCACCAAGGCCACGAUGCAUAGCCGACCUGAGAGGGUGAUCGGCCACACUGGGACUGAGACACGGCCCAGACUCUACGGGAGGCAGCAGUAGGGAAUCUUCGGCAAUGGACGAAAGUCUGACCGAGCAACGCCGCGUGAGUGAAGAAGGUUUUCGGAUCGUAAAACUCUGUUGUUAGAGAAGAACAAGGACGUUAGUAACUGAACGUCCCCUGACGGUAUCUAACCAGAAAGCCACGGCUAACUACGUGCCAGCAGCCGCGGUAAUACGUAGGUGGCAAGCGUUGUCCGGAUUUAUUGGGCGUAAAGCGAGCGCAGGCGGUUUCUUAAGUCUGAUGUGAAAGCCCCCGGCUCAACCGGGGAGGGUCAUUGGAAACUGGGAGACUUGAGUGCAGAAGAGGAGAGUGGAAUUCCAUGUGUAGCGGUGAAAUGCGUAGAUAUAUGGAGGAACACCAGUGGCGAAGGCGGCUCUCUGGUCUGUAACUGACGCUGAGGCUCGAAAGCGUGGGGAGCAAACAGGAUUAGAUACCCUGGUAGUCCACGCCGUAAACGAUGAGUGCUAAGUGUUGGAGGGUUUCCGCCCUUCAGUGCUGCAGCAAACGCAUUAAGCACUCCGCCUGGGGAGUACGACCGCAAGGUUGAAACUCAAAGGAAUUGACGGGGGCCCGACAAGCGGUGGAGCAUGUGUUUAAUUCGAAGCAACGCGAAGAACCUUACCAGGUCUUGACAUCCUUUGACCACUCUAGAGAUAGAGCUUUCCCUUCGGGGACAAAGUGACAGUGGUGCAUGGUUGUCGUCAGCUCGUGUCGUGAGAUGUUGGGUUAAGUCCGCAACGAGCGCAACCCUUAUUGUUAGUUGCCAUCAUUUAGUUGGGCACUCUAGCGAGACUGCCGGUGACAAACCGGAGGAAGGUGGGGAUGACGUCAAAUCAUCAUGCCCCUUAUGACCUGGGCUACACACGUGCUACAAUGGGAAGUACAACGAGUCGCUAGACCGCGAGGUCAUGCAAAUCUCUUAAAGCUUCUCUCAGUUCGGAUUGCAGGCUGCAACUCGCCUGCAUGAAGCCGGAAUCGCUAGUAAUCGCGGAUCAGCACGCCGCGGUGAAUACGUUCCCGGGCCUUGUACACACCGCCCGUCACACCACGAGAGUUUGUAACACCCGAAGUCGGUGAGGUAACCUUUUUGGAGCCAGCCGCCUAAGGUGGGAUAGAUGAUUUGGGUGAAGUCGUAACAAGGUAACC